Molecule: non-coding RNA, 21 nt
Filed under: Arabidopsis thaliana (thale cress)
Lineage: Eukaryota; Viridiplantae; Streptophyta; Magnoliopsida; Brassicales; Brassicaceae
Source: RNAcentral
UAUCAACACUUGUUCGGAUGG